This 442-nucleotide ribosomal RNA is filed under the name uncultured Prevotella sp. RNAcentral's name for it is "bacterial SSU rRNA". It matches the Rfam family "Bacterial small subunit ribosomal RNA", at positions 355 to 794 of the family's 1533-position model. Lineage: Bacteria; Pseudomonadati; Bacteroidota; Bacteroidia; Bacteroidales; Prevotellaceae. The record is from RNAcentral.
UGAGGAAUAUUGGUCAAUGGGCGAGAGCCUGAACCAGCCAAGUAGCGUGUAGGACGACGGCCCUAUGGGUUGUAAACUGCUUUUAUAAGGGAAUAAAGUAAGUCUCGUGAGACUUUUUGCAUGUACCUUAUGAAUAAGGACCGGCUAAUUCCGUGCCAGCAGCCGCGGUAAUACGGAAGGUCCGGGCGUUAUCCGGAUUUAUUGGGUUUAAAGGGAGCGUAGGCCGUCUGUUAAGCGUGUUGUGAAAUGUCGGGGCUCAACCUGGGCAUUGCAGCGCGAACUGGUUUCCUUGAGUACGCACAAAGUGGGCGGAAUUCGUGGUGUAGCGGUGAAAUGCUUAGAUAUCACGAAGAACUCCGAUUGCGAAGGCAGCUCACUGGAGCGCAACUGACGCUGAAGCUCGAAAGUGCGGGUAUCGAACAGGAUUAGAUACCCUGGUAGU